This 2461-nucleotide long non-coding RNA is filed under the name Homo sapiens (human). RNAcentral describes it as "HSALNT0333300". The record is from RNAcentral. Lineage: Eukaryota; Metazoa; Chordata; Mammalia; Primates; Hominidae.
AGCUUGCAGUCGCCCUGCGCGCCUCCCCGCGAGGCUUGUUUUCUAGCGCCUCUGGUGGGCCGCCUCCCGCAGGCCUGGUGUGAGCCUGGGGUCCGUUCUCACAGCUGGAUCUGGGGUCUGAAUGCCGCGCCCUCUGGAGAGCCACAGAUGGGUCUCCGCUGAUGCUUCUCUCAAUUUCCUCUAAGAGCGAGAGCUCCGGGAAAGGAGCCGAUCCUGGUGGAAGACUACAGGUCUGAGUCCACUGGACGAAAAACGAGGCUCCUUGGAUUAGAGACCAUCCUGAGGACAUCCUUGGGAGCCAUGUGCUGAAGAUGGCCAAGCCACAGGAUGAAAGGAGCUGCAUCUUUGAGUCACCACUGGAGAAAGGUCUCUCUAAAUGGAUUUGCAGAGACGUCUUCUCGAAUACUCCCCUUCUAAGUUCCACUUGUAAUCCACUUCUUCUAUUCUCCCAGCAAUCAAUGUGGUUUGGGGAAAUUCCAGAAUCUCAUAAUACCUUGGUCAUGGGUAAAUAAGGAAAGGACCUUUACAUACAUGUGAUGCAAAGCAGAUCAAAACAAGCAGAGCAGCCUAAGAGCAGCAAGACCCCAAAGGAUAAGGGAAGUCCUGCAGAAGAGCAGAGCGGUGCUGCAAAGGCAGGCAGGUAAGGUAAGCAGACAGGGCCAUCAGGAUGGAUCCUUUGGGCAUGCCAGCAUCCACCAGGGACUGGUAGAGCUAUUUAGAGAAACUGAUAAAAAGCUCUGCCAACUACAGUCACAAAAGAUGGAGCUCAGAAUGAUGAGUAGAUGCCUAAAACAUCUCCAUUUUGUUGAUGAAGAAAGUAAAGUUUAUAGAGCUUAGAUUAUUUGCUUUUGUACCUAGCACAGUACUUAGUUUAUAGUAGAUGCACAAUAAGUAUUUGUUUAAUGAGUGAAUGAGUCACUAGCCUAAGACCUUUAAUAUAACAUGCUUAAACCUGCUACCAGGGAUUGGGAACUCACCUAUUUAGUAGUGAGUAGAGGGGUGUGGUACUGGUACUUAAGACAGAUGCAUUGUGGUUGGGUAUGGUGUGUUUUUGUUUUUGUUUUGAGACAGGUUCUCCCUCUGUUGCCCAGGCUGAGAUGCAGUGGCAUUAUCAUGGCUCACUGCAGCCUUAACCUCCCGGGGCUCAAGCGAUCCUCCCACCUCAGCCUCUGAGUAGCUGGGACCACAGGUACGCAUCACCGUGCCUGGCUAAUUUUGUUUUUUGUUUGUUUGUUUUGUAGGGACGGGAUUUUGCCAUGUUGCCCAGGUUGGUCUCGAACUCCUGGGCUCAAGCUACACCCGCCCGCCUCGGCCUCCCAAAGUUGUAGGAUUAAGGUGUGAGCCACUGUGUCCAGCAGAUAUAAUGUUUUUAAAAGUUUGAGAGUUAAUAUGCUCUCUGGUGUGCCCUAGGUCCCACUACUCCUAUUGCCUUAAAACUCACGCAGUACACAUUUGUCUUCCAUGGGCUUCAGUUGUAAGAGAACCCUUUCUACUCUUUGCUGUUCACAAGUCUCCUUUUAAACAGAGCUUGUUCCCAAUGCUGUUUUGUUUUGCCCUCUGCCAUGUUCUUCCGGCCAUCACCUCCUGUGGGGAAAAGAGAGAGAGAUCACAUUGUUACUGUGUCUGUGUAGAAAGAAGUAGACAUAGGAGACUCCAUUUUGUUCUGUACUAAGAAAAAUUCUUCUGCCUUGAGAUGCUGUUAAUCUAACCCUAGCCCCAACCCUGUGCUCCCUGAGACAUAUGCUGUGUCAACUCAGGGUUAAAUGGAUUAAGGGCUGUGCAAGAUGUGCUUUGUUAAAGAAAUGCUUGAAGGCAGCAUGCUCGUUAAGAGUCAUCUCCACUCCCUAAUCUCAAGUACUCAGGGACACAAAACACUGAGGAAGGCCACAGGGACCUCUGCCUAGGAAAGCCAGGUAUUGUCCAAGGUUUCUCCCCAUGUGAUAGUCUGAAAUGUGGCCUCGUGGGAAGGGAAAGACCUGACCGUCCCCCAGCCCGACACCCGUAAAGGGUCUGUGCUGAGGAGGAUUAGUAAAAGAGGAAGGAACGCCUCUUUGCAGUUGAGACAAGAGGAAGGCAUCUGUCUCCUGCUCGUCCCUGGGCAAUGGAAUGUCUCAGUGUAAAACCCGAUUGUAUAUUCCAUCUACUGAGAUAGGGGAAAACUGCCUUAGGGCUGGAGGUGGGACAUGCUGGCAGCAAUACUGCUCUUCAAGUCAUUGAGAUGUUUAUGUGUAUGCAUAUCUAAAGCACAGCACUUAAUUCUUUACCUUGUUUAUGAUGCAGAGACCUUUGUUCACGUGUUUACCUGCUGACCUUCUCUCCACUAUUAUCCUUUGACCCUGCCACAUCCCCCUCUCCGAGAAACACCCAAUAAUGAUCAAUAAAUACUAAGGGAACUCAGAGGCCGGUGGGAUCCUCCGUAUGCUGAACACCGGUCCCCUGGACCCCUUUUUUUCUUUCUCUA